RNAcentral lists this ribosomal RNA (776 nucleotides) under uncultured Neocallimastigales. Its description in RNAcentral is "partial large subunit ribosomal RNA". It matches the Rfam family "Eukaryotic large subunit ribosomal RNA", at positions 24 to 635 of the family's 3401-position model. Lineage: Eukaryota; Fungi; Neocallimastigomycota; Neocallimastigomycetes; Neocallimastigales. The record is from RNAcentral.
UAUCUCUGUAGAGUCUGCAUAUCAAUAAGCGGAGGAAAAGAAACUAACUAAGGAUUCCCUCAGUAACGGCGAGUGAAGCGGGAAGAGCUCAAAUUUGAAAUCUUCAAGGGUUCUACCUUUACGAAUUGUAGUUUAAAGAAGUGUUUUCUGUUGAGGUUUUGGUAAAAGUUCUUUGGAAUAGGACAUCAUAGAGGGUGAGAAUCCCGUAUUUGACCAUUAUUUUCAGCUGUGUGAUACACUUUCAAAGAGUCGGAUUGUUUGGGAAUGCAGUCCAAAAUGGGUGGUAAAUUUCAUCUAAAGCUAAAUAUUGGCGAGAGACCGAUAGCGAACAAGUACCGUGAGGGAAAGAUGAAAAGAACUUUGAAAAGAGAGUUAAACAGUACGUGAAAUUGUCAAAAGGGAAGCGUUUGACACCAGUGUUGUUUUCUCGAAAAUCAAUUAAAAAUGGCUUGAUUUUGUGUUGUAUUGACCUUAAAAGCUUUCUUCACUUUUUUCAUGUCUUUUUUAAUGCACUUUUCGUUUAACAAGUCAACAUCAGUUUCUUUUGUUGUAAAAAGGUCAUUGGAAGGCGGCUUUCUUUUCGGAGAAAGUGUUUAUAGCCUUUGACUUCUGCAAUCGGAGAGACUGAGGUCUGCAGCGUAAAUCCUUCUGGAUUAGAUUCAUUUGUGCUAAGUUACAACCGUUUAUAGACAACUUGUUGACUAUAUUCGAUCCUGUAGCUUACUCGCUUAUGUAAUUUUACCUACGCUUAGGAUGUUGAAGAUGUAGCACAUCAU